RNAcentral lists this ribosomal RNA (1711 nucleotides) under Campylobacter jejuni. Its description in RNAcentral is "partial 23S ribosomal RNA". It matches the Rfam family "Bacterial large subunit ribosomal RNA", at positions 1223 to 2925 of the family's 2925-position model. The record is from RNAcentral. Lineage: Bacteria; Pseudomonadati; Campylobacterota; Epsilonproteobacteria; Campylobacterales; Campylobacteraceae.
AAGUGGUAGGAGAGCGUUCUAUUUGCGUCGAAGGUAUACCGGUAAGGAGUGCUGGAGCGAAUAGAAGUGAGCAUGCAGGCAUGAGUAGCGAUAAUUAAUGUGAGAAUCAUUAACGCCGUAAACCCAAGGUUUCCUACGCGAUGCUCGUCAUCGUAGGGUUAGUCGGGUCCUAAGUCGAGUCCGAAAGGGGUAGACGAUGGCAAAUUGGUUAAUAUUCCAAUACCAACAUUAGUGUGCGAUGGAAGGACGCUUAGGGCUAAGGGGGCUAGCGGAUGGAAGUGCUAGUCUAAGGUUGUAGGAGGUUAUACAGGCAAAUCCGUAUAACAAUACUCCGAGAACUGAAAGGCUUUUUGAAGUCUUCGGAUGGAUAGAAGAACCCCUGAUGCCGUCGAGCCAAGAAAAGUUUCUAAGUUUAGCUAAUGUUGCCCGUACCGUAAACCGACACAGGUGGGUGGGAUGAGUAUUCUAAGGCGCGUGGAAGAACUCUCUUUAAGGAACUCUGCAAAAUAGCACCGUAUCUUCGGUAUAAGGUGUGGUUAGCUUCGUACUAGGAUUUACUCCGAAAGCGAAGAAACUUACAACAAAGAGUCCCUCCCGACUGUUUACCAAAAACACAGCACUCUGCUAACUCGUAAGAGGAUGUAUAGGGUGUGACGCCUGCCCGGUGCUCGAAGGUUAAUUGAUGGGGUUAGCAUUAGCGAAGCUCUUGAUCGAAGCCCGAGUAAACGGCGGCCGUAACUAUAACGGUCCUAAGGUAGCGAAAUUCCUUGUCGGUUAAAUACCGACCUGCAUGAAUGGCGUAACGAGAUGGGAGCUGUCUCAAAGAGGGAUCCAGUGAAAUUGUAGUGGAGGUGAAAAUUCCUCCUACCCGCGGCAAGACGGAAAGACCCCGUGGACCUUUACUACAGCUUGACACUGCUACUUGGAUAAGAAUGUGCAGGAUAGGUGGGAGGCUUUGAGUAUAUGACGCCAGUUGUAUAUGAGCCAUUGUUGAGAUACCACUCUUUCUUAUUUGGGUAGCUAACCAGCUUGAGUUAUCCUCAAGUGGGACAAUGUCUGGUGGGUAGUUUGACUGGGGCGGUCGCCUCCCAAAUAAUAACGGAGGCUUACAAAGGUUGGCUCAGAACGGUUGGAAAUCGUUCGUAGAGUAUAAAGGUAUAAGCCAGCUUAACUGCAAGACAUACAAGUCAAGCAGAGACGAAAGUCGGUCUUAGUGAUCCGGUGGUUCUGUGUGGAAGGGCCAUCGCUCAAAGGAUAAAAGGUACCCCGGGGAUAACAGGCUGAUCUCCCCCAAGAGCUCACAUCGACGGGGAGGUUUGGCACCUCGAUGUCGGCUCAUCGCAUCCUGGGGCUGGAGCAGGUCCCAAGGGUAUGGCUGUUCGCCAUUUAAAGCGGUACGCGAGCUGGGUUCAGAACGUCGUGAGACAGUUCGGUCCCUAUCUGCCGUGGGCGUAAGAAGAUUGAAGAGAUUUGACCCUAGUACGAGAGGACCGGGUUGAACAAACCACUGGUGUAGCUGUUGUUCUGCCAAGAGCAUCGCAGCGUAGCUAAGUUUGGAAAGGAUAAACGCUGAAAGCAUCUAAGCGUGAAGCCAACUCUAAGAUGAAUCUUCUCUAAGCUCUCUAGAAGACUACUAGUUUGAUAGGCUGGGUGUGUAAUGGAUGAAAGUCCUUUAGCUGACCAGUACUAAUAGAGCGUUUGGCUUAUCUUU